Molecule: non-coding RNA, 102 nt
Organism: Arvicanthis niloticus (Nile rat)
Lineage: Eukaryota; Metazoa; Chordata; Mammalia; Rodentia; Muridae
Source: RefSeq, a predicted model, not a curated record
GCUGAGCAAGCCAUGAGAGGCAAGCGGGAGCAGCACCCUCCAUGUCCUCUACAUCAGCUCCUGCCUCCAGGUUCCUGCCCUGUGUGAAUUCCUGUCCUGACU